Struthio camelus australis is the source of this 450-nucleotide non-coding RNA. The record is from RefSeq and is a predicted model, not a curated record. NCBI's taxonomy places the organism in Eukaryota, Metazoa, Chordata, Aves, Struthioniformes, Struthionidae.
GCAGAGUGCUAGCCUGAGGCUUGGAUUGUGCCAGUGGAGCUCAGGUCCCAGAAAGCCCUGGUUUCCCUGUGGGGCAUGGAAGAGCCCAAGUGAACUGCUGCUCCAAAGAGGGCAAGUCUGCGCUGGCGAAGCUGGAGGCUGCUGUGCCUGGUGCAGAAAAGAGGGAACAGAUGUGGAAAUUUAAAACAAGAAGUAGCUUUGCUGGAAUUUGCUUUCAACGUAGCAAAAGGAGCUCUCAGCCAGACUAAGUCCUUGGGAGACAGUGUGCCUGCACAGUAAGAAGCAGUCCCCGCUCUGAAGUGCUGUGAGUGAAACAGACACAGAUGAGAGCACCAAGAGGUGAAAUGAGUUUUUCAAGGUUAUAUAGGAGGUAGUUCAAUGCAAGCUCCCAGUGAGAAAUCUACUAAUUUUGGCAGAAAGUCACCCAAAGCCCACAGGCAAGUUGAUCUG